GACGAACGCUGGCGGCGUGCUUAACACAUGCAAGUCGAACGAUGAAGCCUUUCGGGGUGGAUUAGUGGCGAACGGGUGAGUAACACGUGGGCAAUCUGCCCUGUACUUUGGGAUAAGCCUUGGAAACGAGGUCUAAUACCGGAUAUGACUGGCCUUCGCAUGGGGGUUGGUUGAAAGUUCUGGCGGUACAGGAUGAGCCCGCGGCCUAUCAGCUUGUUGGUGGGGUAAUGGCCUACCAAGGCGACGACGGGUAGCCGGCCUGAGAGGGCGACCGGCCACACUGGGACUGAGACACGGCCCAGACUCCUACGGGAGGCAGCAGUGGGGAAUAUUGCACAAUGGGCGAAAGCCUGAUGCAGCGACGCCGCGUGAGGGAUGACGGCCUUCGGGUUGUAAACCUCUUUCGACAGGGACGAAGCGCAAGUGACGGUACCUGUAGAAGAAGCACCGGCUAACUACGU
RNAcentral lists this ribosomal RNA (461 nucleotides) under uncultured bacterium. RNAcentral's name for it is "bacterial SSU rRNA". It matches the Rfam family "Bacterial small subunit ribosomal RNA", at positions 28 to 506 of the family's 1533-position model. The record is from RNAcentral.